This 465-nucleotide ribosomal RNA is filed under the name uncultured bacterium. RNAcentral describes it as "partial 16S ribosomal RNA". It matches the Rfam family "Bacterial small subunit ribosomal RNA", at positions 28 to 507 of the family's 1533-position model. The record is from RNAcentral.
GACGAACGCUGGCGGCGUGCUUAACACAUGCAAGUCGAACGGAAAGGCCCUGCUUGCAGGGUACUCGAGUGGCGAACGGGUGAGUAACACGUGGGUGAUCUGCCCUGCACUUCGGGAUAAGCCUGGGAAACUGGGUCUAAUACCGGAUAGGAGCCAUUUUUAGUGUGAUGGUUGGAAAGUUUUUUCGGUGUAGGAUGAGCUCGCGGCCUAUCAGCUUGUUGGUGGGGUAAUGGCCUACCAAGGCGGCGACGGGUAGCCGGCCUGAGAGGGUGGACGGCCACAUUGGGACUGAGAUACGGCCCAGACUCCUACGGGAGGCAGCAGUGGGGAAUAUUGCACAAUGGGCGCAAGCCUGAUGCAGCGACGCCGCGGAGGGGAUGACGGCCUUCGGGUUGUAAACUCCUUUCGCUAGGGACGAAGCUUUUUGUGACGGUACCUAGAUAAGAAGCACCGGCUAACUACGUG